RNAcentral lists this ribosomal RNA (297 nucleotides) under Pseudomonas aeruginosa. RNAcentral's name for it is "partial 16S ribosomal RNA". It matches the Rfam family "Bacterial small subunit ribosomal RNA", at positions 1 to 296 of the family's 1533-position model. Lineage: Bacteria; Pseudomonadati; Pseudomonadota; Gammaproteobacteria; Pseudomonadales; Pseudomonadaceae. RNAcentral also lists the same sequence under 2 other names. The record is from RNAcentral.
AAAUUGAAGAGUUUGAUCAUGGCUCAGAUUGAACGCUGGCGGCAGGCCUAACACAUGCAAGUCGAGCGGUAGCACAGAGAGCUUGCUCUCGGGUGACGAGCGGCGGACGGGUGAGUAAUGUCUGGGAAACUGCCUGAUGGAGGGGGAUAACUACUGGAAACGGUAGCUAAUACCGCAUAACGUCGCAAGACCAAAGUGGGGGACCUUCGGGCCUCAUGCCAUCAGAUGUGCCCAGAUGGGAUUAGCUAGUAGGUGGGGUAACGGCUCACCUAGGCGACGAUCCCUAGCUGGUCUGAG